Molecule: ribosomal RNA, 871 nt
Filed under: Photinus floridanus
Lineage: Eukaryota; Metazoa; Arthropoda; Insecta; Coleoptera; Lampyridae
Also listed under: 3 other names
Description: SSU rRNA
Rfam family: Eukaryotic small subunit ribosomal RNA
Source: RNAcentral
CUCCCGGCACGGGGAGGUAGUGACGAAAAAUAACGAUACGGGACUCAUCCGAGGCCCCGUGAUCGGAAUGAGCACACUUUAAAUCCUUUAACGAGGAUCAAUUGGAGGGCAAGUCUGGUGCCAGCAGCCGCGGUAAUUCCAGCUCCAAUAGCGUAUAUUAAAGUUGCUGCGGUUAAAAAGCUCGUAGUCGAAAUUGUGUCCUCGGCCGCCGGUUCGUCGCUCGCGACGCCAACUGGCGCGCACCGCUGGACGUCCAGCCGGUACAACGAACUCGCCUACGGGGUGCUCUUAACCGAGUGUCCAGGCGGGGGCCGGCAACGUUACUUUGAACAAAUUAAAGUGCUUAAAGCAGGCUAAAUUGCGCUCGCAUACACGCGCAUGGAAUAAUCGAAUAGGACCUCCGUUCUAUUUUGUUGGGUUUUUGUGGAACGACAGACGGAGGUAAUGAUCAAUGGGUGCGGAUGGGGGCAUUCGUAUUGCGACGUUAGAGGUGAAAUUCUUGGAUCGUCGCAAGACGGACUUAAGCGAAAGCAUUUGCCAAAAACGCUUUCAUCGAUCAAGAACGAAAGUUAGAGGUUCGAAGGCGAUCAGAUACCGCCCUAGUUCUAACCAUAAACUAUGCCAGCUAGCGAUCCGCCGAAGUUACUUCUAUGACUCGGCGGGCAGCUUCCGGGAAACCAAAGCUUUCGGGUUCCGGGGGAAGUAUGGUUGCAAAGCUGAAACUUAAAGGAAUUGACGGAAGGGCACCACCAGGAGUGGAGCCUGCGGCUUAAUUUGACUCAACACGGGAAACCUCACCAGGCCCGGACACCGGAAGGAUUGACAGAUUGAGAGCUCUUUCUUGAUUCGGUGGGUGGUGGUGCAUGGCCGU